CCUACGGGUGGCAGCAGUGAGGAAUAUUGGUCAAUGGACGCAAGUCUGAACCAGCCAUGCCGCGUGCAGGAUGACGGCUCUAUGAGUUGUAAACUUCUUUUGUGCGGGAGCAAUAAUGGUCACGUGUGGCCAGACGAGAGUACCGUACGAAUAAGCAUCGGCUAACUCCGUGCCAGCAGCCGCGGUAAUACGGGGGAUGCAAGCGUUAUCCGGAUUUAUUGGGUUUAAAGGGUGCGUAGGCUGUGAGGUAAGUCAGCGGUGAAAUGCCCCCGCUCAACGGGGUGAAGUGCCAUUGAUACUGCCUUGCUGGAAUGCGGAUGCCGUGGGAGGAAUGUGUGGUGGAGCGGUGAAAUGCAUAGAUAUCACACAGAACACCGAUUGCGAAGGCAUCUCACGAAUCCGCGAUUGACGCUGAUGCACGAAAGCGUGGGUAUCAAACAGGAUUAGAUACCCUAGUAGUC
Molecule: ribosomal RNA, 461 nt
Filed under: uncultured bacterium
Lineage: Bacteria
Description: partial 16S ribosomal RNA
Rfam family: Bacterial small subunit ribosomal RNA
Source: RNAcentral